GGGUGUUCGCGGAAAUGCAUGUUCCUUGCCUUCACACGGCAGGGGUCGCAGGUUCAAACCCUGCAUCACCCACCA
Molecule: transfer RNA, 75 nt
Filed under: Burkholderiales bacterium PBB4
Lineage: Bacteria; Pseudomonadati; Pseudomonadota; Betaproteobacteria; Burkholderiales
Description: tRNA-Val
Source: RNAcentral